ACUCCUACGGGAGGCAGCAGUGGGAAUAUUGUACAAUGGGGGCAAGCCCUCGAUACAGCAAUGCCGCGUGAGUGAAGAAGGCCUUAGGGUUGUAAAACUCUUUCGCCAGGGAAGAUAAUGACGGUACCUGGUAAAGAAGUCCCGGCUAACUCCGUGCCAGCAGCCGCGGUAAUACGGAGGGGACUAGCGUUGUUCGGAAUUACUGGGCGUAAAGAGUUCGUAGGCGGAUAAGCAAGUAAGAGGUGAAAGCCCAGGGCUCAACCCUGGAACUGCCUUUUAAACUGCUUGUCUAGAGACCGGAAGAGGUUAGGGGAAUACCUAGUGUAGAGGUGAAAUUCGUAGAUAUUAGGUGGAACACCAGUGGUGAAGGCGCCUAACUGGUCCGGUACUGACGCUGAGGAACGAAAGCGUGGGGAGCAAACAGGAUUAGAUACCCUGGUAGGUCAGUC
Molecule: ribosomal RNA, 449 nt
Filed under: uncultured bacterium
Lineage: Bacteria
Description: bacterial SSU rRNA
Rfam family: Bacterial small subunit ribosomal RNA
Source: RNAcentral